CUGUAAGCCUGCGAAGGUGGCCUGUGAGGGUUGCUGGAGGUAUCAGAAGUGCGAAUGCUGACAUAAGUAACGAUAAAGCGGGUGAAAAGCCCGCUCGCCGGAAGACCAAGGGUUCCUGUCCAACGUUAAUCGGGGCAGGGUGAGUCGACCCCUAAGGCGAGGCCGAAAGGCGUAGUCGAUGGGAAACGGGUUAAUAUUCCCGUACUUGGUGUUACUGCGAAGGGGGGACGGAGAAGGCUAUGUUGGCCGGGCGACGGUUGUCCCGGUUUAAGCGUGUAGGUGUGUGUUCCAGGUAAAUCCGGUUCACUUUAACACUGAGGCGUGAUGACGAGGCACUACGGUGCUGAAGCAACAAAUGCCCUGCUUCCAGGAAAAGCCUCUAAGCAUCAGGUAACAUCAAAUCGUACCCCAAACCGACACAGGUGGUCAGGUAGAGAAUACCAAGGCGCUUGAGAGAACUCGGGUGAAGGAACUAGGCAAAAUGGUGCCGUAACUUCGGGAGAAGGCACGCUGACACGUAGGUGAAGUGAUUUACUCAUGGAGCUGAAGUCAGUCGAAGAUACCAGCUGGCUGCAACUGUUUAUUAAAAACACAGCACUGUGCAAACACGAAAGUGGACGUAUACGGUGUGACGCCUGCCCGGUGCCGGAAGGUUAAUUGAUGGGGUCAGCGCAAGCGAAGCUCCUGAUCGAAGCCCCGGUAAACGGCGGCCGUAACUAUAACGGUCCUAAGGUAGCGAAAUUCCUUGUCGGGUAAGUUCCGACCUGCACGAAUGGCGUAAUGAUGGCCAGGCUGUCUCCACCCGAGACUCAGUGAAAUUGAACUCGCUGUGAAGAUGCAGUGUACCCGCGGCAAGACGGAAAGACCCCGUGAACCUUUACUAUAGCUUGACACUGAACAUUGAGCCUUGAUGUGUAGGAUAGGUGGGAGGCUUUGAAGUGUGGACGCCAGUCUGCAUGGAGCCGGCCUUGAAAUACCACCCUUUAAUGUUUGAUGUUCUAACGUGGACCCGUGAUCCGGGUUGCGGACAGUGUCUGGUGGGUAGUUUGACUGGGGCGGUCUCCUCCUAAAGAGUAACGGAGGAGCACGAAGGUUGGCUAAUCCUGGUCGGACAUCAGGAGGUUAGUGCAAUGGCAUAAGCCAGCUUGACUGCGAGCGUGACGGCGCGAGCAGGUGCGAAAGCAGGUCAUAGUGAUCCGGUGGUUCUGAAUGGAAGGGCCAUCGCUCAACGGAUAAAAGGUACUCCGGGGAUAACAGGCUGAUACCGCCCAAGAGUUCAUAUCGACGGCGGUGUUUGGCACCUCGAUGUCGGCUCAUCACAUCCUGGGGCUGAAGUAGGUCCCAAGGGUAUGGCUGUUCGCCAUUUAAAGUGGUACGCGAGCUGGGUUUAGAACGUCGUGAGACAGUUCGGUCCCUAUCUGCCGUGGGCGCUGGAGAACUGAGGGGGGCUGCUCCUAGUACGAGAGGACCGGAGUGGACGCAUCACUGGUGUUCGGGUUGUCAUGCCAAUGGCACUGCCCGGUAGCUAAAUGCGGAAGAGAUAAGUGCUGAAAGCAUCUAAGCACGAAACUUGCCCCGAGAUGAGUUCUCCCUGAGACUUAGAGUCUCCUGAAGGAACGUUGAAGACGACGACGUUGAUAGGCCGGGUGUGUAAGCGCAGCGAUGCGUUGAGCUAACCGGUACUAAUGAACCGUGAGGCUUAACCUUACA
RNAcentral lists this ribosomal RNA (1710 nucleotides) under Salmonella enterica. Its description in RNAcentral is "bacterial LSU rRNA". It matches the Rfam family "Bacterial large subunit ribosomal RNA", at positions 1241 to 2925 of the family's 2925-position model. RNAcentral also lists the same sequence under 5 other names. The record is from RNAcentral. Lineage: Bacteria; Pseudomonadati; Pseudomonadota; Gammaproteobacteria; Enterobacterales; Enterobacteriaceae.